Molecule: ribosomal RNA, 1411 nt
Filed under: uncultured cyanobacterium
Lineage: Bacteria; Bacillati; Cyanobacteriota
Description: bacterial SSU rRNA
Rfam family: Bacterial small subunit ribosomal RNA
Source: RNAcentral
GAUGAACGCUGGCGGUAUGCUUAACACAUGCAAGUCGAACGGUGUCUUCGGACACAGUGGCGGACGGGUGAGUAACGCGUGAGAAUCUGGCUCUAGGUCUGGGACAACCACUGGAAACGGUGGCUAAUACCGGAUGUGCCGAGAGGUGAAAGGUUAACUGCCUAGAGAUGAGCUCGCGUCUGAUUAGCUAGUAGGUAGUGUAAUGGACUACCUAGGCGACGAUCAGUAGCUGGUCUGAGAGGACGAUCAGCCACACUGGGACUGAGACACGGCCCAGACUCCUACGGGAGGCAGCAGUGGGGAAUUUUCCGCAAUGGGCGAAAGCCUGACGGAGCAAUACCGCGUGAGGGAGGAAGGCUCUUGGGUCGUAAACCUCUUUUCUCAGGGAAGAACACAAUGACGGUACCUGAGGAAUAAGCAUCGGCUAACUCCGUGCCAGCAGCCGCGGUAAUACGGAGGAUGCAAGCGUUAUCCGGAAUGAUUGGGCGUAAAGCGUCCGCAGGUGGCAAUGUAAGUCUGCUGUUAAAGAGUCUAGCUCAAUUAGAUACAAGCAGUGGAAACUACAUAGCUAGAGUACGUUCGGGGCAGAGGGAAUUCCUGGUGUAGCGGUGAAAUGCGUAGAGAUCAGGAAGAACACCGGUGGCGAAGGCGCUCUGCUAGGCCGUAACUGACACUGAGGGACGAAAGCUAGGGGAGCGAAUGGGAUUAGAUACCCCAGUAGUCCUAGCCGUAAACGAUGGAUACUAGGCGUGGCUUGUAUCGACCCGAGCCGUGCCGUAGCUAACGCGUUAAGUAUCCCGCCUGGGGAGUACGCCGGCAACGGUGAAACUCAAAGGAAUUGACGGGGGCCCGCACAAGCGGUGGAGUAUGUGGUUUAAUUCGAUGCAACGCGAAGAACCUUACCAAGGCUUGACAUGUCGCGAAUCCUGGUGAAAGCCGGGAGUGCCUUCGGGAGCGCGAACACAGGUGGUGCAUGGCUGUCGUCAGCUCGUGUCGUGAGAUGUUGGGUUAAGUCCCGCAACGAGCGCAACCCUCGUUUUUAGUUGCCAGCAUUAAGUUGGGCACUCUAGAGAGACUGCCGGUGACAAACCGGAGGAAGGUGGGGAUGACGUCAAGUCAGCAUGCCCCUUACGCCUUGGGCUACACACGUACUACAAUGCUCCGGACAGAGGGCAGCAAGCAUGCGAAUGCAAGCAAAUCCCGUAAACCGGAGCUCAGUUCAGAUCGCAGGCUGCAACUCGCCUGCGUGAAGGAGGAAUCGCUAGUAAUUGCAGGUCAGCAUACUGCAGUGAAUUCGUUCCCGGGCCUUGUACACACCGCCCGUCACACCAUGGAAGCUGGUAGUGCCCGAAGUCAUUACUCCAACCUUUCGGGGAGGAGGAUGCCUAAGGCAGGACUGGUGACUGGGGUG